Molecule: long non-coding RNA, 1224 nt
Organism: Venturia canescens
Lineage: Eukaryota; Metazoa; Arthropoda; Insecta; Hymenoptera; Ichneumonidae
Exons: 3
Source: RefSeq, a predicted model, not a curated record
UUGUCAAAGUCCUUUUGUCCGUCGCUAGCAACCGGACGUGUGUAAACAUCCGAAAAAUGUUGUUGUUCCAGAAAUUUAGUGUCGUCGUUCGAUCGCUGAGGAGUCGCAACGACUUUUUCAUCGAACAUCGGCAAUCUCGGAUCCGAGUAUCGGGACUGGAAGAACGGCGUCAAAAGGAACGAUUUUUCGGUCGGGAGGAACGACGUUUGCUUCGAUCGAGAAAACUCAUUGCUUUGUUUACAAACAAAUGUUGAGCUCGAUCGAGCCGUUGAUACGAGUGAAAUUGGCGGGAACGAGCUCCAAAUAUUUCCUCGUAUUUAUACGGUCGCCUUUACGAGGCCGUUAUUCGUUUCGUUCAAAAUACCCUUUUUCCUUCGGACACGUUUAGUAAACAAAAUAAAAAUACGAAGAAACAGAUUGACGCGCGAUCCGAGGGGACGAGAACGACACCGGACAAACAGUGCAUCGUUCGCGUCGUCGGACAUUUCCAAAACAAAGGGAAAGAAUAAGCCUGGAGAAGCGAGUUGUCGGAGAGUGAGACUACUUCGUACGUAUUUUAUUUCAGACAUGAAAAUCUCGUGAGAUUUGCGAUCUGUCGUCGAGAAGAUAAGGAAAAACUGGUAACUUUGUCCCGAGUACUCAAGGGGAAGUUAAGCUGGCUACAUUUCGUCGAGCUAACUCUCUAGUGAUAUACAAAUAAAAUAAAAACGAUUUAGCCGGGCAAAAAAAGGAUGAUGACGACAAAAAAAAUUUAUGCCAAGAUGAGCGAAGCAAAGGUGACGUAAAAAUGGAACGGAUAAUCUCGCGAGGAUUCAAUACUUUUCGAGUGCCUCCGCGUCCAUAAUUUCGAGUACAGCGACCGGCUCAGAAACUUUAGUGUCUCGAUAUGCUGACCAAAGGAAUAAAAACGAUUAUUGAGUGGACGAGGAAGAAAAAUUGUGCAAACUCUUCCUCGAACGGGCAAUUUUCCUGUUUAUAGAGAUUUGAUUACCGGCGUGUUUAUUUACGUGACCGCCCCCUCGUCGUGCCUUCUCAUCGCGUAGUCACCGGUUAUAAAUGUCUGGUUAAGCAAUCUCGGCUCUCUAAGGUAGUUCGCGACUAAGUGGACACAAAAAUCUUUCAACGAUGACUCAUUGAUUGUCGUCGAUCGGGCUUCGUUCCCGAAUUUCCUAAUUUUUUCACCAAUUCAGUAAUCCGAUCACCGACAACUUCCCAUGCAAAAAA